This is a long non-coding RNA of Tarenaya hassleriana, 712 nucleotides long. RefSeq lists it as uncharacterized. The record is from RefSeq and is a predicted model, not a curated record. The transcript is spliced from 2 exons. Lineage: Eukaryota; Viridiplantae; Streptophyta; Magnoliopsida; Brassicales; Cleomaceae.
AAAGGGGUUUCUUGGUGAGUUCAUCAUCGCAUCAACCCUCGGUUCCGACACUGCUUAACCACCAACAGACCCUCUUCCUCGGUCAAGGACCGCCAUUGUUGUCUCAUCAAAGGGGUACCCUUCAGUCCAGCUUUUCGUCACAUCCGUUUCAUUCUUGGGAUCAUCAUCAUCAUCCCCAAUCUUCGGCAUUUGCUUCUCAGUUUGGUUCACAUGGAAUCAUGCAAGGCCUUAGUAUUCCCACUAGGAUCCAUGGAGGAGAAAGCGAAGGGCUCGGACCCCAGCGUCCUUCACCCUCCUCUUCAUCUCCUUCUCACUUGCAUCGUUGAUCCAUAGACAACAGAUUGGUUCAAGAUUUGAGGAACUCGAUGAAUCUGAUGAAGAGAAGACACCAAGAGGUUCUAUAAAUCCAGCUCAGGAGGAAUGAGAGUGUACGUACGCGAAGAGUUUUAGCGUAUAGAUCUUCGGAUGAUUUUACUUCUUAAUUAUUAAGAAUAUAUAUAUACACACGUAAGUUUUACAUAUACAUUAUUCAGAUUUUCACACAGAGAUCAUGAUCAUGGUACUGUGUAGAGAUGUGUUCUCUUGGGCUUUGGGUUUAUUAUAUUACCUGAUUUCGUUGCUUAGACAAUAGUUCGAAAAAUCUAUUUAUUUUUAUAUAAAAAAAACAACAACAUUAAAUGUUUCCGAAUUUAAUAAGAAAUUAAUUAAUGGU